RNAcentral lists this unclassified non-coding RNA (376 nucleotides) under Hevea brasiliensis (rubber tree). The record is from RNAcentral. Lineage: Eukaryota; Viridiplantae; Streptophyta; Magnoliopsida; Malpighiales; Euphorbiaceae.
AUGGCUGGUGCAAAGUGUAAGGGGUUGGCCAAGUCAAUGGGCCCUUCUCGGAUGAGAGAGGAGUUUGGGGACGUUGAGACUAUGUUGGCCAGAAUUUUGAGACACUUGAUCAAUGAGGAGUCAAGAGUUGACAAGGUUGAGGACCGGUUGGUGGAGCUUUGGGGGGACAUGGAAGAGAGCCAUGAGGAACUUCAAGCCGCACUUAAAGAGACCCUUGACAAGUUGACAAGUGAAUGUGAGGCCCUGAAAGUUGUCCACGCCAAGGAGAUGACCACCGUGAGGGAAGACAACCAUGUUCUUAAAGGAGAGGUAGAAAAGUUGAAGGGAGAAAUGAAGGGUAUGCGGGAAGAGUUUGAAUUGCUUGCAAGAUUGGUGG